GGGAGCAGGAGGAGGAGGCAGUUCUAAGCGGACGGGAUCCUUCUAAGAACCUUCGGUUCUGCGACUUGGGAGCUAGUAUGCGAAGUCUGCCCAAUGCGAUUGCACGUCGCCUUAGAAUCUGCCUCCUCAGGGAUGAGAAUUGAGUGAGACGCUGCUACCAGGAAAGGCCCUGGCUGCUGAUGGGCAAUGCUGGACAUGGAGGCUCCAGGCCAAGCCCCAGGGCAGCACCCUGAGCCUGAGCUUUAGAGGACCAGAAUGAGGAAUCUGCAAGACCAAGGAGAGGGAGAAGGGAAGGAGAAAGCGAAGGAGAGAAACAUCAAUGUG
Phyllostomus hastatus (greater spear-nosed bat) is the source of this 324-nucleotide long non-coding RNA. RefSeq lists it as uncharacterized. The transcript has 3 exons. The record is from RefSeq and is a predicted model, not a curated record. Lineage: Eukaryota; Metazoa; Chordata; Mammalia; Chiroptera; Phyllostomidae.